RNAcentral lists this ribosomal RNA (253 nucleotides) under uncultured bacterium. RNAcentral's name for it is "partial 16S ribosomal RNA". It matches the Rfam family "Bacterial small subunit ribosomal RNA", at positions 524 to 776 of the family's 1533-position model. The record is from RNAcentral.
UACGAAGGUGGCGAAUGUUGCUCGGAUUCACUGGGCGUAAAGCGUCUGUAGGUGGCCUUAUAAGUUAGAGGUGAAAGCCCCGCGCUCAACGUGGGAACGGCCUUUAAAGCUGUAAAGCUUGAAGAUAUGAGAGGAUGGCGGAAUGACUGGUGUAGAGGUGAAAUUCGUAGAUAUCAGUCGGAACACCCAUGGCGAAGGCAGCUAUCUGGCAUAUUCUUGACACUGAGGGACGAAAGCGUGGGGAGCAAACAGG